Molecule: ribosomal RNA, 253 nt
Filed under: uncultured bacterium
Lineage: Bacteria
Description: partial 16S ribosomal RNA
Rfam family: Bacterial small subunit ribosomal RNA
Source: RNAcentral
UACGAAGGGGGCUAGCGUUGUUCGGAAUCACUGGGCGUAAAGGGCGCGUAGGCGGCUUUGUAAGUCGGGGGUGAAAGCCUGUGGCUCAACCACAGAAUUGCCUUCGAUACUGCAUGGCUUGAGACCGGAAGAGGUAAGUGGAACUGCGAGUGUAGAGGUGAAAUUCGUAGAUAUUCGCAAGAACACCAGGGGCGAAGGCGGCUUACUGGUCCGGUUCUGACGCUGAGGCGCGAAAGCGUGGGGAGCAAACAGG